This 424-nucleotide ribosomal RNA is filed under the name uncultured bacterium. Its description in RNAcentral is "bacterial SSU rRNA". It matches the Rfam family "Bacterial small subunit ribosomal RNA", at positions 356 to 773 of the family's 1533-position model. The record is from RNAcentral.
GGGGAAUAUUGCACAAUGGGCGAAAGCCUGAUGCAGCAACGCCGCGUGAGUGAUGAAGGUUUUCGGAUCGUAAAGCUCUGUUGCCAGGGAAGAACGUCCGUUAGAGUAACUGCUAACGGAGUGACGGUACCUGAGAAGAAAGCCCCGGCUAACUACGUGCCAGCAGCCGCGGUAAUACGUAGGGGGCAAGCGUUGUCCGGAAUUAUUGGGCGUAAAGCGCGCGCAGGCGGCUGUUUAAGUCUGGUGUAUAAUCCUGGGGCUCAACUCCGGGUCGCACUGGAAACUGGACGGCUUGAGUGCAGAAGAGGAGAGUGGAAUUCCACGUGUAGCGGUGAAAUGCGUAGAGAUGUGGAGGAACACCAGUGGCGAAGGCGACUCUCUGGGCUGUAACUGACGCUGAGGCGCGAAAGCGUGGGGAGCAAAC